RNAcentral lists this unclassified non-coding RNA (2499 nucleotides) under Leptinotarsa decemlineata (Colorado potato beetle). Its description in RNAcentral is "protein Malvolio, transcript variant X7". The record is from RNAcentral. Lineage: Eukaryota; Metazoa; Arthropoda; Insecta; Coleoptera; Chrysomelidae.
CAGUUGUAGGUUGUAGUUGAAAUUACUUAGCCUAGUCACAAUAAUUUUUGUCGAGUAUUGGGUGUUGCGUGUCUACACUAUCAAAAAUCUUUGGUUAAGUACUGUUCAUUUUGACUUUUGAUUUUGGUUAGGUAAUUUUAGUGGAAGUUUUUAUUUUACAAAAUUUUCGUGAUUUCAAAUGUGACUGUAUCAUCAACAAAUCAUAUCUGAUUGAAUCUAUCAAGUUAAUAGGAUGGCCAAGAAAUCAUUUACAACCAGUUCUCAAACAUCGGCAACAGAAAGCGGUGAUGGAGAUCGCAACAGUACAAACGGAAGUGCUCUGGAUAUAAAAUCGUCUUCUCUUGGAUCUUCACCGAAUGAGAAUACAGGAUUAUCUUCAAAUCAAACUUAUUUCGCUGAUCGAAAAAUAAUCAUUCCUGAAGUUCCACAUUCUGGCUUCAGUUUCAGAAAACUAUGGGCUUUCACGGGUCCUGGUUUUCUGAUGUCCAUAGCUUACUUAGACCCUGGAAAUAUAGAAAGUGAUUUACAAAGUGGAACGGUAGCAAGCUAUAAGCUAUUAUGGAUACUUCUCAGCGCCACGCUGUUAGGGCUCCUUAUGCAGAGACUGGCGGCAAGAUUAGGUGUUGUUACUGGUUUACAUCUAGCAGAAAUGUGUUACAGACAAUACAAACGUGCGCCUCGAUUAUUGCUAUGGAUAAUGGUAGAGGUAGCUAUUAUAGGAAGUGACAUGCAGGAAGUAAUAGGUACCGCUGUUGCAAUAUAUCUACUUUCAAACAGAACGAUACCUAUUUGGGGAGGAGUUUUGAUAACCAUUGUGGAUACUUUUACAUUUUUAUUCUUGGACAAAUAUGGUCUAAGGAAGCUCGAAUCUUUUUUUGGUCUUCUGAUAACGAUAAUGGGAGUAACGUUUGGUUUUGAGUUUGUAACUUCGAAACCUAGUGGUGUAGAUUUAGUAAAGGGAAUGUUUAUCCCGUGGUGUAAAGAUUGCAACUCUAACGCUUUACUACAAGCAGUGGGUAUAGUUGGAGCCGUAAUUAUGCCACAUAAUCUUUAUUUACACUCUGCUCUUGUAAAAUCAAGAGAAGUUGAUAGAACAAAACCAGAAAAGGUUAAAGAUGCCAACAAAUAUUAUUUCAUUGAAGCAGCUAUAGCUUUAUUCGUCAGUUUCAUCAUCAACGUAUUUGUUGUUGCCGUUUUUGCUCAUGGGUUGUACAACAAAACAAAUCAAGAACUGCAUGAUUCAUGUGUCAAACAUCCGUCUAUCAACGCCUCAAUAUUUCCGGAAAAUACUGAUUUAGUAGACGCAGAUCUCUACAAAGGAGGCAUAUUCUUAGGUUGCACGUAUGGUUUGGUAGCAAUGUAUAUUUGGGCUGUUGGUAUUUUAGCAGCAGGACAAAGUUCCACAAUGACUGGUACUUAUGCUGGCCAAUUUGCAAUGGAAGGUUUUUUGAAUCUCCAGUGGGCCAGAUGGAAGAGAGUUUUAUUCACUCGAACAAUUGCAAUUGUCCCUACUUUUUGUUUAGCAUUCUUCAGUAACCUUGAAGAUCUGACAAACAUGAAUGAUACUUUAAAUGCUAUAAUGAGUCUCCAGUUGCCGUUUGCCACCAUUCCUACUAUAGCAUUUACUAGUAAUCCACUAAUCAUGGGAGCAUUUGUAAAUGGAAUAGGAAACAAAAUAGCUUCGAUAGCUCUCAGUAUCGUGGUGAUAGCAAUUAAUACCUAUCUUGUUAUAAAUACUGUGAAUGAAAUGGAACUUAGCUGGUUCCCACUUCUUAUUGUUGUAGUUUUUGGUAUUAUAUACCUUCUUUUCUGUGCAUAUUUGGUAGUACAUAUGGCAGUAUCAAUGGGAAACACUAAUUUGUUGAGGUACAAUUUCGUAAACAAAUAUGUCAUGGGGCCAGUUGAUGCAACUCUUGACAUAAAUCCUAUUAGUUAUUCUAGUCAAUCUGCAUAAAUCAAGGAUCUUGGGAUUAUGUGCUUCAAUAUGUGACAGUUGUUAAUCUUAAGAAGCUUGUUUCGCCCACUUAGCAUUUAUUUUUGUAAUCUCAAUCAGAAUGGACAUUAGGCAAUAACUCAACCAUAGAGGAUGCAAGAUUCUGAAAAAAUAAAAUCUAACAAAUAUUUUGGGAGAUUUAGAAAUUGCUGUCUAUUUGUGUUUUAAUUUCAUUCAUUAGUAUAGGUCUAAUAUAGUUAGUCAUUAAUAAAAAGCAAUAAAUUAUGCAUGACUGGCUGGUAUUCAUAAAGUUCCUAGUACCUUAUUUUCUGGAUUUCCGUUUUAUGUAUAUAGGUGAAAUUGAAUAUUAUAUGGUGUAUAAUAACGUAACUGUAUAGUAAUUGUAAUAAAUACUCUUUAUAUUAUGAAAACUGAACAACAUUAAAUAUUGAACCCGUACAGAUAUUUUCAACAAAGUUUUUGUAGUUCUUCAACUUUUGUGUGCAUUGUAACUUUUUUACAAAGUGAUGUAAUUGGAUUUGUCACAGUAAAGAAAUUUUAAAGUA